ACGGAGGAUCCGAGCGUUAUCCGGAUUUAUUGGGUUUAAAGGGAGCGUAGGCGGACGCUUAAGUCAGUUGUGAAAGUUUGCGGCUCAACCGUAAAAUUGCAGUUGAUACUGGGUGUCUUGAGUACAGUAGAGGCAGGCGGAAUUCGUGGUGUAGCGGUGAAAUGCUUAGAUAUCACGAAGAACUCCGAUUGCGAAGGCAGCCUGCUGGACUGUAACUGACGCUGAUGCUCGAAAGUGUGGGUAUCAAACAG
Molecule: ribosomal RNA, 251 nt
Filed under: uncultured bacterium
Lineage: Bacteria
Description: partial 16S ribosomal RNA
Rfam family: Bacterial small subunit ribosomal RNA
Source: RNAcentral